This is a long non-coding RNA of Vicia villosa (hairy vetch), 1419 nucleotides long. RefSeq lists it as uncharacterized. NCBI's taxonomy places the organism in Eukaryota, Viridiplantae, Streptophyta, Magnoliopsida, Fabales, Fabaceae. The record is from RefSeq and is a predicted model, not a curated record. The transcript has 2 exons.
UUUAAUCCACAUUAAUCCUCAAUUAAUCUCCACUAAUUAUCAAUCAAUUAUCAACUAAUUUCAUUAACAAUUAAAAAACCAAAAUGAAAGAGGCUUAGGGUUAGAAAUGUGACCAACAGAAUUCACGAUCUCCUUCUUCAGCGUGAACGGUGAUGAACUCCUUCCUUCUCAUCUCAUGACCACCGACGUUCUCCUCCCCGCAACGGCAAACGACUUUCAUCACCUCCAUUUCGUUCUUCGGCCAUCGCCGUUGUGCGGAUGCUGUGUUGCGCAUGUACUUUGAAAUUUGUUGAUGUGAUUUUGAAUCCAUAGAAAGAUUGAAGGAUUAUUGAUGGAGGAUUAAAGAUUCAGUGAUGGUGAUGCUAUGACGACGCGAAGUGAAGUUCGAAGUAUGUUGUUGAAUUUGCAGGUCGAUGAAGUUCAAGGAGAGGUUGAAGAUCGAAGAGGAUUCGAUGAUGAUAACCGAAUCAGGAGAGAAAGAGAGUUGCUAUGGUGAUUGGAGCGUCAACGUGAGGUGAAUUCGAUGGUGAAAAGUAGUGUGUUUCAAGAUGAAUAUUCGAGAGAGAAUUGAAGAGGAUGAAUCGAUAAUUCAAGAUGAAGAUUGAAGAGGUUUUUCUGUUAGGUCGUGAUGAUUAAAGUGAAUUGAAGUGUAAAGGAGGAACUCGAUUCAGAUGUUGAAGAUGAUGAAUCGCUGAUGAUUUUGAAGGUUAGAAGAGGAUGAGCUGUCAUGGAAUCUGUGUUGUGAAGGUUGAAGAAGAUUUUUGUAUCCGUUUCUGCAAGUAAUGGAGGUUUGUUACAUUCGGUUAGAGGUAUUUUUUGUUUAUUUACAGAUUGAAAAACGUUUGAAGAUUGGAGAGGGAGGAGUAUGAAGUUCGGUGGUGAAGGUGAGGUUCUGUGAUGAAGGUUCAAUCGAGAGAGAAGAGUCUCCCUGAAGUUUGUUAUGAUUUUCGGUUCUCAAUUUUUCUCCCAUUUUCUGUUAGAAACUUUCUGUUAUCUGAAUCUCCCCCCUUCAAUUUCCUUUUUUUGUCCAACCGAUUUAUUUAUUUUCUGUGUUAUAUUCUGGAACUGGUUGUUAUCAAAGAGUGCAGGGGCUGCGUUUUUCCGGUUCGAUUUGAAUUGUCCGCUGGAUCUUUUUUUCCUUCGCUGAAAAGGUGCUCUUUUGGUUUAAAUGCCGGUACCGACUCGGUUCUCAUGGAGUCAAAUGUUGCGGUUUACCGGGUUGCGGUUUGUUUUGAAUAUUAAUGAGCUUGAACCGGUUUUAUGUGCAGGGAGAUGUAUUGGAAAUUGGCAAAGCAUUGGAAUUAAAAAUGGAGCUUAGAAUUUUCAUGUAACUUUUCUUUGUAGUAAUGUAAUUUUGGAAAUAGUUUUGAAUUUUGUAAUGGACAUUUGAAUGAGAAUAUGGAUAUUUGGAUUUUGAAA